Long non-coding RNA from Oncorhynchus masou masou (cherry salmon), 4406 nucleotides. RefSeq lists it as uncharacterized. NCBI's taxonomy places the organism in Eukaryota, Metazoa, Chordata, Actinopteri, Salmoniformes, Salmonidae. The record is from RefSeq and is a predicted model, not a curated record. The transcript is spliced from 5 exons.
CGUCUGCUCGCCUCACUUCCUGGUUGACUGUGUGAAUUUGUCCAAACAUGACCGCGUGUGCUGUGUACAGGUAGAAUAGAUCAAAGGUAUACCUUUUUUGUACCUCAUGGCUUCUGUCAGUGACCUGCAAGCUCGACGAGUUGAAAAUUAUAAUACACGCACUCUGUUGAACUCAGAAGGCGUUUAUGAAGCAGCAGAAGAUAAUUCAUCCCAGAUCAUUCUAGAGAACCCCGAUCCUGAUAUCGUUAAAACAAUCUCACAUUAUUUUGAUGCUGCUCUCAGUGGGCAGAAAUAUGUGUUAUCCCAUCCCGUCGCAGACCAUGGCACUGAGUCUUCAGCAGACAGUAGGGAUUCAGGGGACAGCCUGUUCAUAACUCAAGUGCCAGUGUCUGAGGUGGUGAGGUCUGUGAGAAGAUCUCACUCAAAGGAGAGGUCAGAGUUCACAUGUACCAUAGAAUCAGAGGAGGAGAGUGGGGGCGAAGAUGGACCUGCCACUACCCAAAGGAAGCAGCAGGUCUCACAGGCAAUGAAACAUCACAAGAGGAAAGCAGAGAAGCAUGGCCUGAAAAAGUACUCCUUUCCCUUUCUGGGGAGCGUUUACAGAAGUAAACCCCUAUCUAGUCGAGAGUGGGCUUACAGAAACACACACCUACCACUAUUAAAUAGUGUGACCUUCUCAAGUAAGGCAAUUGGAGGCUUUUUUAGAUGUGUCAAAACACUGAAGAAGUUCUCUAAAGGAAAAGCGACUUUAGCUUCAGCUUUACCAAACAGAUAUCUGGAUGAGGAAGGUGAACUGUCUCCAUUGUCAGAACAGGAGGUGGAAUCUGAAGGUAGUGAUGAUGACAUCAGAGUGGUGAAAAAUACACUUUUAAUGCCAUUCCUGAAAAAGAAAAAUAGGCGAACUUGGCGUUAUCCAUCAUCUGAAGCUGAAAAGCAAUGCAGAAAGUUUUCAUCUGUAAGCAAAGACUCCACCGCCAAUACAAAGAAACGGAGCACAAAGAAAACACAACACCUCCCUCAUGUUAAACAAACUCUUUCCUUGGUUUCCAAAAUGAUUAAAGAUACACCAUCAAAGCAGAGUUUUGCUGGGUCACAGCGAAUCGUACCUGAGAAAUGUAACAUGGCAGAAGAAGAGACUAACCCAGAGUCAGUCAGUUGCGUUAGGAGAUGUUCGUCUGGUAGGAGUUUAGUCCGCAAUGAAACAGAAGAACCUGGUAUACAUUUAGCUGACAAUACAGACGGACAGGAAGAGAACGACAACAUAGACAUUUCAUUGACAGGAUGGAAGACAAUGCUGAAUAUCGGAUUUGUCAGUGAGGAAGUAGAGGGGAGUAGAAUAGACCAGGCAGUGGACAUAAUGAGUUCACCUAUUAAUGAAGUGCAGGAAAGUGAAGGAAGCUGUUUGGAGAGGACCCAAGUGGGCAGAGCCAUGACCCCCAGUGUGACUGGGCAGCGCCCUGAUCAUGACCAUCAGAACCAGACAAGAGAAACAGAGGCUGAUCCUGGAAUUAAAGGUCACAAACCCCCUUCAACAGAUCCAGUGCUCACAAAUGACUGUACAAAUGUUGAUGCUGUGGGAGACUAUGAACAGAAGGGAAAGAAGAGGAAGAAAAAGAACAGGAAAAGAGAGGGAGGAGAUGAUGAAAGUAUAGAGGACCGAGUUGGGCAGCCUCCAUGCCAAGAAGCUCCAGAUUAUCAGGAACUUGUCACCUGUGUGAGUACAAGCACCAUACAGGGAGGAGAGGCUCCUGAGAUAACCCAGGAUAACAAGGCAGAGCAUUCUGUGUCCGUGUCUGGUGAAAUGAUUAUGCCACAGAAAAAGAAGAGAAAAAAGGAGAGGAGGAGGGAUUCACCAUGCCAUGUUGAUACAGAUAUAGGCCUAAAACAGGAAGAUAACCCCAAGCUAUCAUCCCAUGCUGGAGGUGGUGCUAUAGUUCAGACUGAAGACAUAGAACUGAAGAAAAAGUAUAAGAAUUCCACAGCACAUGCCAUCCUGGAGGAAGGACCAGAAAAAGGACAUUUUCUGAAUUUGAGUUUGGAAUCACAGUUAGAUGAGGUAAUAGGACCCCAAAAGGGAACAAACAUUUCAACCCUCCCUGAAGAUACUGUCAAAAACCUACAGGUAAAUGCUACUGAUAUAAGACAGAAAACAAUUGAGUGCUCUAUAGUCAAAUUUACUAAAUUGGUAGCCCAGAGAAAGAAGCAUAAAACCAUGGCACCAAUAGACAAUUCUUUGGCACAGAGUGACGGCACAAUUUAUUUUAGGAAAAAGAAAAGGGCAAAGAAAGAUAGGGAUUCCUGCAGCAAUGAAAUGGUGGGAAAUUAUACUGAAAUUCCUCUGACUACAAGUACUUUAUCUCAAUCUGGUGAAAUCGUUACACUGGAGAAGAAAAAUCGCAAACGAGAUAAGAAACAGAAUUCUGACAUUCAUGAAGAUUCUUUGGCCAGACCUAAAGAGAAUGUUGUGACCCAUGAGAGGUCUGAAGACAAGGUUACGGAGAAGAAGCGGAAGAAGAGGAGGAAAUCUUCAACUGAAGAUGGCGCCGUUGUUCAACAACAAGAGGAUAAUAUUCAAAAAUUCCAUAUCACCCUCAAGAGUUCUGUGUCUGAAUCCAGUGACACUGUGCCACCAAGAAAAAAGGGGAAGAAAGAUGGGGAUGUAGUAACUCCUUUGAGCACAGAGGAGAGACGUCAAAAGGACAGCAUACCACCCGAAACAGAUGAGAUCACUUGCCCAAGAAGGAAGAAGAAAAAGCGAGAGUCUAAAGACACUUGUUCUGUCAUACAUCAGGAUACAGCAGCUCCACUGGAAAAAGAGAGUAUUGGCAUAUCUUUGGAGGGGUGUGAGAGUUCUGCUUUGACUCCAGAUGACACAGUUUCUCAGAGAAAAACUAAGAAAAAUAAGAAUUCCCUCACCAAACAUGAUCCUGAGGGAAGACUGAAAAAUGAUGCAACUAAAAUAUCUCAGAGGAUGAACGCAACUGUAAAAAAUUCUGCUGAAGUGAGACUUGAACCUGAAAGUGCCUUUAUAUCCUCAGAGAGAAAGAGGAAAAAGACCAAGAGGAGGAAAUCCACUGAUUACGAAGUACCAGCGGUAGGACAUCAAGAUAAUGAUAACACUGCAAUACUAAUUGAAACGACCCAGAGUUCUAUGACCCAAUACAAAGAAACAGAGUCACAGAAGAAGAAGAAGAAGAAGAAAAAGAAAAUAAAUGAUAUCACUGCAAUGCUAAUUGAAACGACCCAGAGUUCUAUGACCCAAUACAAAGAAACAGAGUCACAGAAGAAGAAGAAGAAGAAGAAAAAGAAAAUAAAUGAUAACACUGCAAUGCUAAUUGAAACGACCCAGAGUUCUAUGACCCAAUACACAGAAACAGAGUCAAAGAAGAAGAAGAAGAAGAAGAAAAUAAAUUGAAAAACGAACAAGGAAUCAUUUGCCCCGAAGCGCACAGGUGGAAGACAGACCGGGGAGAUGUCAGAGGCGACGUCAGGCUGUCUGCCUUUACCACCGAUUAAUCCUGAUCCUGUAUCAAUCUCCCAUGAAUUUGUUUCAUCAGCAGAGAAGAAAAAGAAGCAUGGAAAAGACGAGGAUGAUGUAUGUAUGAUGCAUAUCAGGAUUACCUUGCAACCGAACACAUUGACACAGUGGUGAUGUCAUGAAGCAUGCCAUCUGAAUAAAACAACCCAUAGCUUGGAGAGGAUUUUUGAUGGGUGGCCUUUAGUUAUAUUUGUAAGUCGCUCUGGAUAAGAGCGUCUGCUAAAUUACUUAAAUGUAAAUGUUAUAAGGGAACAGAUUUUUAAAUGAGUAGAUUCAUUGUACACCACCCCUAUGAUGGUUGUUCUUCCACUCUUUAGAGACACUUGUAUGCGCAUUCAGAUGAUCAAUUAACAUAUUCCGAUGAUAAAUGUGCAUGCAUAGGCUAGUCAGAUAAACUGAACGUUUUCAGUGUUAAGUUACCACUAAAUGGUGUUUUGUAAAGAAUAUUUUUUUAUCCUAUCCUGUCACCUAGUGGACAACUUAAGACAAAACACAAUGGUUUUACUCAAACUGGUUUUAUUGCAGUGUUAGUGACAUGUUUAUAACUUGGAUUCUACUGUCAUGAUGUUUCAUUAGUUCUCCAUAUAAUGUAUGCCAGUGACGCAUGAGAAAGUGGUUGUGUACAUUUGAUAAGAUUUGUUUCUUGUUCAGUUUUGAAAUAGAUUACAUUUUUAAUGUAAUUCCCUUCAGUUAGGGACAUUGAUGCAAUAUCCUUUGUGUGCAGUGCAUCGUAUGAAGGCCUAGUCUAAACAUUGUCUCCACAACCAUUAUAGCUAUAGUAAUAUUUUUUAUAUUGGCUCCAUACAAGUGUAGUUGUAAGUAUGACUGUCUAUUGAAAGAUACACAAUAAAUGUACAGUUUAUCAAUG